RNAcentral lists this ribosomal RNA (472 nucleotides) under uncultured bacterium. RNAcentral describes it as "bacterial SSU rRNA". It matches the Rfam family "Bacterial small subunit ribosomal RNA", at positions 28 to 506 of the family's 1533-position model. The record is from RNAcentral.
GAUGAACGCUAGCUACAGGCUUAACACAUGCAAGUCGAGGGGCAGCAUGAACAUAGCUUGCUAUGUUUGAUGGCGACCGGCGCACGGGUGCGUAACACGUAUCCAAUCUGCCCGUCACUCGGGGAUAGCCUUCUGAAAGGAAGAUUAAUACCCGAUGGGAUGCAUUUCCGGCAUCGGAGAUGCAUUAAAGAUUUUAUCGGUGACGGAUGAGGAUGCGUACGAUUAGCUAGUUGGCGGGGUAACGGCCCACCAAGGCGACGAUGCUUAGCUGAGCUGAGAGGCUAAACAGCCACACUGGGACUGAGACACGGCCCAGACUCCUACGGGAGGCAGCAGUGAGGGAUAUUGCACAAUGGGCGAAAGCCUGAUGCAGCAACGCCGCGUGAGGGAUGACGGUUUUCGGAUUGUAAACCUCUGUCUUCGGUGACGAAUAAAUGACGGUAGCCGGGGAGGAAGCCACGGCUAACUACGU